This is a long non-coding RNA of Carassius carassius (crucian carp), 389 nucleotides long. RefSeq lists it as uncharacterized. NCBI's taxonomy places the organism in Eukaryota, Metazoa, Chordata, Actinopteri, Cypriniformes, Cyprinidae. The transcript is spliced from 3 exons. The record is from RefSeq and is a predicted model, not a curated record.
AGUAAAACCUAUGUGCCCCUCUGUGUCCUGCUCUACUGAGGAUCUUUGCGCCUUCAUCGACGCUCCUUUUACUACGUCCACACCACUCAAAAGGCCACAGAUGGAUAAUAGCAUCGAUGUGGUCAAAGACACCUCAUCGAGUAUAAAGGAGUCCACAACUUUUGAUUCCACAUUUGAUCCUGAUACCACUCAAGAGGAUAGUCAAAAGGUUUGCCAACCCCUCUAAAGUGCAGUAAAAUACAUAGUGUACGAGGAGAACUUGUUGGACGUAUUUAAAAAGUGUCCAGUGUGUGCACAGACCUGCACUGUAAACAAAUUCGUGAUUGGAACCUUUGUGUCAAUCACACAGAUAUGUUCUCACUGUGUCCACAAAACCCAGUGGAGCAGCC